UACGGGGGGGGCAAGCGUUGUUCGGAAUUACUGGGCGUAAAGGGCUCGUAGGUGGCCAACUAAGUCAGACGUGAAAUCCCUCGGCUUAACCGGGGAACUGCGUCUGAUACUGGAUGGCUAGAGUUUGGGAGAGGGAUGCGGAAUUCCAGGUGUAGCGGUGAAAUGCGUAGAUAUCUGGAGGAACACCGGUGGCGAAGGCGGCAUCCUGGACCAACAUUGACGCUGAGGAGCGAAAGCCAGGGGAGCAAACGGG
RNAcentral lists this ribosomal RNA (253 nucleotides) under uncultured bacterium. RNAcentral describes it as "partial 16S ribosomal RNA". It matches the Rfam family "Bacterial small subunit ribosomal RNA", at positions 524 to 776 of the family's 1533-position model. The record is from RNAcentral.